AAGGACCAAACUCUUGUUGUGAGUACGCAAGCACUAGUUGAUCCUUUAGAUGACAAAAUCAAUUCUUUUCGUAAGAAUGAUUUGUGUCCAUCUAGUGCUAGCACUUAUAACUUGAAUAAGGUUCCAUUACCAAGUGACAAGAGUAUUUACACACUAGUUGACCCUUGUGAAAGCCAAGGUGAGUCUACGUUGGUAUGUGAGUUACCAAUAACUA
This 214-nucleotide long non-coding RNA is filed under the name Capsicum annuum. Its description in RNAcentral is "long non-coding RNA (CANN_LNC015329)". The record is from RNAcentral. Lineage: Eukaryota; Viridiplantae; Streptophyta; Magnoliopsida; Solanales; Solanaceae.